RNAcentral lists this long non-coding RNA (243 nucleotides) under Lathyrus oleraceus (garden pea). Its description in RNAcentral is "Pisum sativum (pea) long non-coding RNA (PSAT_LNC023925)". The record is from RNAcentral. Lineage: Eukaryota; Viridiplantae; Streptophyta; Magnoliopsida; Fabales; Fabaceae.
UCUUGCAGGCUUGGACCAUAUCCCCAGCAGAGGCGGAUCAUUUUUCAACAUCUGUACGGCACAUUGGCGGAAGUUGCUCCUGACAGCAUUCCGGAUUGAUAAUCCCCAGGGAGGUUUAUUUCCUCACCCGUCCGUGAAAAGAAAUCCUGAUUAUUCCCAGCUUAGUCCCAGGCAAGUGGCUGCCUUAUCUUGACAUAUGUAGAUGUCAUCCCUACAAUACCGGUAGGUGUCGUGUUGAUCCCC